CCUGAGGUUGCUUUUAGUGAAUCCGAAGAGGUUGUUGAGUUCAGGUAAGACUUAAGAUGUAGCAGAUUGAACCUAGCUAAGUAGUAAUGUACUCUACUUGGUAAUUUUAAAUGAACUAGCAGAAACCUUGGAUAAACCAUGGAUUAAUGGCUCUUUUAUUUUUCUCGUGCAGCAAGCUGGAUGUGAAACUGCAGCUUGCACUGUACAAGCUUGUGAAGGCGCUGGGUUAUGAUACUCCCGGGGUCACAGAAGUGUUGCAGGAGCCCACGAUGAGCAAAGACCGGCCCCGGCUUCUCUUCUGGGAGACCGAGCUGUGGGAUUUCCUCAACAAAGAUGCAAUGGUACUUGUUUACUACCUAUGUAUUACAAAUGUUGCUUUUAAGUUUUGGACAACUUAUUGUUGAAAGCUUAGUUUAUGGGGCUAACUUCACAAAUUGUUCUGGCAUGGUAUCUAAUUAAUGAAUUGGCAUAGUUUAGUGUAAAAUGGUGCACCCACGUUGUGGGAGGAAAAACAUGACGGUUAGAAAAUAAUUGGGUUGCCUGGCCUAUUUGGCACACUUUCCUAAUUUCAAAUUUACUGUGAACAAGUUCCUAUUGAUUUUAGGAGUGUUGGGUUGUUGUCCAGGACAUCAUCUAAAUUUACUGGGAGCAAGUUUCCUGUUCAUGUUAAAGUGUCGCGUUGUUGUUCAGAACCUCAUUUUCCCCAUCUAAAACAGGGUGCGUCCCGCCGAGCCCCCCAUCCGAAUCCUCAUUAGUGUUGCUGUUGUCCAUCUAUCGUUGGCUUGCAGCCAGAAUCCUUUUGUGAUGUUCUCAGAGGGAGCUAAUUGAGUGAUCCAUUGCCGUGAGGUGGCUGAGCUUUCGAUUGGGAUUACCCUGUAGUGGUAGAAAUGGUGAUGUAUAUGAUACUCUCCAUUCAAAAGUGUUUUUUUAGGGGAAAAGCUUCCCCUCAGCCGGCGGAUCGCACACAAAGCGUCCGUCGCCUUGUACGCCCACCACGUGCUAUGCUAGGCUGCAACCUUAUCCCUUUGUCUCUGCCUUCAGCCGGCGGAUCGCACAGUAAACAGUUCCCUCAACAUGAUCUUUGUUGCAAAAAAAAAAACAGCCACAUGGUCUCUGUUGCGAAAAGUUUUGCAAACAUUUUCGCAACAUGAUCUUUGUUGCGAAAACAUUCCGCAACAUGACCUUUGUUGCAAAAACAUUCAGCAACAUGACCUUUGUUGCAAAGGUUUCUGCAACAUGACUUUUGUUCCAAACAUUUCUGCAACAAUAGCUCUGUUGCAAUAAUGAAGGUUGUCUGUCAGCCGCUUGAUGGGGCGGGAUCUUGCGGCUCGCGACCCGGCCGAUCUUUCAAAAAGAUCAGCCGGCAGACGUGUAGCACGGCCCUUUUUUAGGCAAUUCAGGAAUUGUGUUACUCUGGUCAUGCCCAUAUCUUCCUGCUGCAGUUGACAGUGUAAUUCGAAGUGCAGAGUAGUCUCCGGUAGUACGAUCUGUACGUUCACCUAGCUAACUUUGGUCAUGUUUUUUUUUAUCUCAGUUCCUCACUGUACAUGUUAACUGCAAUUGUUCCCACGAGAACUCUGUACUCUUGUGUCUUUUGCUGCUGUUGUAUGGCUCUGUCAUGGACUCAUGGUAUUUAUGUUCGGGUUGCUCUUACUUAUUUUGCUGCUGCUUGAGGUUCUAUUUCAGUAAAAUUUGUGUGAUAUUCUUGGCUGGACUGAUUUGUUUUCACAGUUAAGAACAUCUUUUAUCUUAUCAAUUGACAGCUUGCACGCUUGAUGUACCAAACUAUCUAUGUACCGUUGUGUAAAAUGAUGCACUGUUAAAUUUUCUGCAUGUUUUUACUUUUUUCUGCGAUGACAAGGGGUACUGGUUAUUUUUCUGAACUUCUCCAGUCAUGCACCGAGUCGAGUUUAUGGUCCAAGUAAUCCGUUUUUACCAUGUGCUGAUGAUACUUCAUUUUUUACAUGCACGUGUUAUAUCAUAUUGCCUUCAAGUUUUACCCUACUUAGUGUUAUCAUAUAUUCCUUAAAUCCUGCUGGAAUCUUUAGAUGUAGUAGGACAGAAGGAAGAUGCUUUAGUUUUUUUACUGUGUGUGAAAUGCAGUUGUUUUUUUCUAGUCGCGCAGAGUUAUUGCAAUUCAGUAAUGUAAUCUUCAAGGACAUCUCAAGGAUGUAGCAUUUCAAGCAAGGAUUUAUUCAUCCCUUAAAUCCUGCUUGAGAAACCAAGCUGGGAUCUUUAAGGGAUUUCUUCAUCCCUUAAAUCCUGUGUGUGAAGUGCCAUUGUUUUUUUUUUCUAGUCACGUAGUGUUAUCGAGAUUCAGUAAUGUAAUCUUGAAGGCCUUCUCAAAGGAGUAUGAAUUUUAGAGGGAAACAUGUCAGUUGGAAAAAAAUGAGUUGCAUGUCCUAUUUGUUUUGCAGUGAACACUAGUAUUUUUUACUUUGAAUAUUACUGUGAGCAAGUUUUCUGUUCAUUUUUGGAGGAGGUAAUAGCAUCCCAGGUACCCUAACUUGCACUCAAUGUGAUGAUUUAGUCCCAAAGUUGCAAAACUUGACCAAACCAUACCCCAACUUGCACCUCAUGUGAUGAUUUAGUCCCAGGCCAAUCACAGCUCGCCAAUUGGCUGCCAAGUGGCUGGACCGGUCAGCACACGCAGUUUUGCAGAAAACCCCCUGCCGUCUCCAAUUAUCAACCCGCAGUCACCCCCACCUGAAUUAAAUCUGUCGACGGCGCCCCCACCGCCACCGCUGCGGACGCGGAUGCCACGCUCGGCGAGCUCGCCUCCAACCUCUGACGCGUACGCCGACGCCGACGCCACGAUGCGCUGCUCACGCAGCAGUUCCCGGUCCGCCCCAGAUCCCAGGCCCAUGCCCUCGACCGCGUCAUGGCCAUCAAGCUGUUGGAGGAGCACCUCAUCCCGCGCUGCGUCGAGUGCCUCGCCAGUGGCAAGGCCCCCGUCCCUGGCAAGACCCCCGACUCCUCCACCUCCUAGCCGGACAGCAGCCCCGACAGGGACGACCCGGACCCAGUCGCGGCCGCCACCGAGGCCCUCGCCAAGGUCGACCUCUCCGACGACCCGGACACCACCGCCACCGCCAAGUCCGGCUCCAGCAAGCCCCGUCAGGCAGCCAGAGGCGGCGGCGGUGACGUGGGCAAGUCACUCGACUACCUGUACCGCGCGUGCAGGAUCGCUCGCCGUGAAGCACAUUGACAUCGCCGUCUCCGUCCUCUCCCUCUUCAUGGAGCCCAAGAAGCUCGCCAGCCUCGCCGAGUGACGCGUACGUGAGUCAUCUUGCUCUGUUAUGUUUCUAGCCAUGGAGGAUUUACUGCUAGUAGUGCGUAGUGGUUUGGAUGAGUGAUUUGGGUAGUCGUUUAGUUCAAUAGAGGUUCAGAUGAGAGAUGAGCACUGUGUUCUGUACUUCUGAUUGCAUUAUGUGGCACCGAAUGGUUGUUGCCUAGCUUAUCCAGUGCGACUUGAAUGAAUUUUGGUGCGAAUUUGGUUGAUCUUCUUGUUCUCUGUUCCGACUGUUUGUUCAACUUCUGUUGUUGCUUGUGCUAAUUUUUUUCCUGCAUGCAUCAGUUACUGUUUAGAUGGCUCAAUUCACUUUCAGUUUUUACUCUGAAUCAUCCUAUGCAUAUAAGGAAUGUUGUUCAGUUGUUAGAAUUCUGUUUGAAAAGCGUGAGCGUUUGAUGAUCAGGCACAGGACCGGAUGCCACAAACUCACUGCAAUGAUCAUUUCGUUCUUCUAUUAUGAUAUACUCCGCGCAUAUUUAUGUGUUUUGUCAGUCCCCUGGAGGUCCUGCAGGCGGUGCUGGAGUUGCAGGAGGCGGUCGCGGUGUCCUGCGGGCUAAAUUGCUAACUGAAUGUCUUUGUCAGUCCCCUUUCGGUUAUGGCUCAUGAACUUAAUUACAGUGUUCAUCUUGUUUCUGUUCUGUUAAGGUGUGCAUGAUUGAUCGACUGCAUGUUCUGUUUUUGCACCGUGGAUCAUGUAGGACGAAUGUCAUUCAGAUACAGGAUCAGCCUUACUGAAACUCUUUGAUAUUCUCGCCUUUUCGGUUUUGACUGAUGAACUCACCUCGGUUAAAUUCUAGCUUAUGACAGAAAUGUUGGUAGCUGCGCUAAGCUUCAGGAUUUUAUCAGUACUUAGGAUUGAUCAACUACAGAACCUGACUAAAGUUACUUUAAUUGUGUCCCAUCAAACAGUUUUUGGAGAGUUGGUUGCUGGGCUAAGUUAGUUUCUGUUGGUUGCUAGGCAAUUUCCUAGUUGUGUCUGAUCAAGCAGUUUUCUAGAGUUGUGCAAAUGCAACUUAAUGUUGGUCAGGUUCUGUAGAAUUAUGCACUGAUAAACUUGUCAUCGUACAUGGUCUUUAUUUAUCGUGUUACCACUCUCGUUUAAAUGCAUUUGUUUUUGGAGACAAGGCAGUGAAAGGAGGUGCAGAGUAACAUGUUUCAGAUUACAUGCAUGUUAAGUACACAAGCCCUACUUUGCAUUUUGCCCAGCGACGUUGCCUCUAUACCAUGUUUUAAACUGCUAAUUCUGCUGUAUAUGCCCUUCCUAGGGUCAUUAAUUUGUGAAUCACAGAAUAUGAGUAGUGUUGUAUUCGAGCUCUGAAUUUCGUACAGUAGAGCACACACACAUGACACAUGUACAAGUAGAGUAAUUCGUACCGUCGUGCUCAUCUCGGUCGCCGAUGCGGCCGGCGUCGCCCUCAUCGGAGUCAUCGUGGUGUACAUAUACUGGAAGCUGCGCGACCGGCGCGGGGACGACGACGACGAGGACGAGGAGGGGCGAGGGCUCUUCGCCUGCCCGUGCAUGCAUGCAAACACCUGCGGGGACUCGUCGGACAGGUCCGACGCGGGCGGUGGCGAGAAGAAACGCGGCAACGGUUCCGGGGGCGGAGGCGGCUGCGAGGACGGGGAGCUGGUGGCGAUCGACAAGGGGUUCCGGAUAGAGCUGGACGAGCUGCUGCGGUCGUCGGCGUACGUGCUGGGGAAGGGCGGGAAGGGGAUCGUGUACAAGGUGGUGGUGUGGUGGUGGGCAACGGGACGACGCCGGUGGCCGUGCGGCGGCUGGGCGGCGGCACCGCGGCCCCAGAGCGGUACAAGGAGUUCGCGGCGGAGGCCGGCGCCGUCGGGCGCGUGCGGCACGCCAACGUGGUGCGGCUGCGCGCCUACUACUGGUCGCCCGACGAGAAGCUCGUCGUCACCGACUUCAUCAACAACGGCAACCUCGCCUCCGCGCUGCGCGGUACGUAACAUCCUCUUCUAUACAAUUCGUGCUCUUUUUUCCAACGGUUUGCUCUGCUCUGAAGAACAGAAUGGGUUGAUAAUUGGAAACGGCAGGGGGGUUUCUGCAAAACUGCGUGUGCUGACCGGUCCAGCCACUUGGCAGCCAAUUGGCGAGCUGUGAUUGGCCUGGGACUAAAUCAUCACAUGAGGUGCAAGUUGAGGUAUGGUUUGGUCAAGUUUUGCAACUUUAGGACUAAAUCAUCACAUUAGGUGCAAGUUAGGGUACCUGGGGUGCUAUUACCUCUUUUUGAAGUGUCGACUUGUUGUUCAGAACCUUCUUUCCAUGUUGAACAGACAGAGAAGGCCCCAUCGAUGUCCCCUUUCAAAAUCACCGGCAAGGGGCUGGAGCUGAUGUCCGAAGAGGAGUACCUCCGCGUCAUCAAUUCUGGGAUCAAAUACGCCGUGGAGUGCAACAACUGCAACCGGGUGCGUCCCGCCAAGCCCCCCCACCCCCCACCCCCCUUCUGAAUCUUCACUUGUGUUGCUGUUGUCGAUCUGUUGUUGGCUUGCAGCCCGGAUCCUCUCGUGAUGUUCUUGGAUGGAGCUAAUUGAGUGACCCGUCGCCGUGAGGUAGCUGAGGUUUCGAUUAGGUUUGCCACGUAGCGGGUACAAAUUGGAAAUGGUGAUUGAUAUUGAUAUUCUCCAUUCAAAAGGGCGGAUUUUUGUAGGUAGUCGAGGAAUUUAGUUAGUCUGGUCACGCCCGUAUCUUCCUGCUGCAAUUGACAGUUUAAAGUGCUGCAGGGUAGUCACUGGCAGUAUGAUGUCUAGGUUUAUCUAGCUAACUUAGGUUAUGGUCCUUCUAUUUCAGUUACCUCACAGGAAUCGUUAACUGCAAUUGUUACCAUGGUCACAAUAGAACUCACCUUCAGUGUAGAUGACUGCAAUUUCUGUAAACACUGGAGUAUUUCCUACUUUCAAUGUUAGUUACUGCGAGCAAGUUUCCUGUUGAUUUCAGGAGUGCCAGUCAGACUUGCUGUUGAGAACCUAAUCCUCUCCAUGUUAAACAGGCUGACAAGAAAAUCACAGGAGAUGACGUGUAUAGGUACAUGAAGAUGCGCGGGGUCACGUCCUUCUCCCCCAAGUUCCUGCAAGAGACCAUACUCGACAAGCUCUAAGCGUAAGACAGGACAACAAAUCUGCUUUGCACAUCCUGUUCCGAGACCCCUACUACGAGCCUCUGAGCUAUAUAUAUGUUCGUGUAUCGUAGCGCGAUGUUAUUAAAGUUUAGAACGGUUCCUAGAGAAUACUUUGUUUAGUAGUAGUAGUAGUAGUAAUGCUGGUUCGGAAGAAAUAAUUAUGUAUAUGUUCUCCGUGAAUGCAUUUGUGGAGUAGGUUUGCUUUGCUAUCUUGUACUAGUAACCUACCGGUUGACGUCAUAUGGUCACAAUGGCUGUGUACACCCUUGUAAAUAGGUCUUAUAUUUUGGUAUGGAGGGCGUAGGUUAUUAAGGGCAUCUUCAAUGCCAAUCUGCAAUUUCCUCGCAUCCUUCCAUGGACAUAGGAGACCAG
This 6795-nucleotide long non-coding RNA is filed under the name Triticum aestivum (bread wheat). RNAcentral describes it as "long non-coding RNA (TAES_LNC009899)". Lineage: Eukaryota; Viridiplantae; Streptophyta; Magnoliopsida; Poales; Poaceae. The record is from RNAcentral.